GUCUUUAGCUCAGCUGGAUAGAGCGACGCACUACGAAUGCGUAGGUCGGGGGUUCGAAUCCCUCAAGG
RNAcentral lists this transfer RNA (68 nucleotides) under bovine gut metagenome. It matches the Rfam family "tRNA", at positions 5 to 66 of the family's 71-position model. Rfam says of the family: Transfer RNA (tRNA) molecules are approximately 80 nucleotides in length. The record is from RNAcentral.